Molecule: ribosomal RNA, 253 nt
Filed under: uncultured bacterium
Lineage: Bacteria
Description: partial 16S ribosomal RNA
Rfam family: Bacterial small subunit ribosomal RNA
Source: RNAcentral
UACGUAGGGGGCAAGCGUUGUCCGGAUUUAUUGGGCGUAAAGAGCGUGUAGGCGGCUUGGUAGGUCCGCUGUGAAAACUCGAGGCUCAACCUCGAGAUGUCGGCGGAAACCGUCUGGCUAGAGUCCGGAAGAGGAGAAUGGAAUUCCUGGUGUAGCGGUGAAAUGCGCAGAUAUCAGGAAGAACAUCCGUGGCUAAGGCGGUUCUCUAGUACGGUACUGACGCUGAGACGCGAAAGCGUGGGGAGCGAACAGG